CUCUGUCAUAAUCUGGAAUGAUGAUAUCAAUCAAGUGAAGCAGCUAUCACAGGGUCUGGAACAUAGUACAUCCCAGCCUUCUUGCACAUAGAAACACUACACAGCACUUCAGCUGUAUGUUUGGGGGCCAUUUUAAACAGCAAAAUCAUCAACAGGAAGCAGAAAAUUGUAAAAAUUGUGGCACUAAAUAGACCAUGUAAAGGACACAUGUUUGCAAUAAGAAAGCUGAAACAAGAAGGGGGAGUGUCACCUUAUUUGAUCCAGCUAGAAACUUAGGUUCUGUCAAUAGAAGAUACUAAAGAAAGAAAGCCAGGAGAAGAAAAGGGACUUCUUUCUUCAAGGUCUAAGCUGUUCUAAUAGCAUUAUUCUGGGAAUGGCAUCUUCCACUCCUCCUAGUACAAAGAACCUGCUUCCUCAUACCCCGUCAAGGAACUGCAGCAUCCAGGUGAUGGCCACAGUGGCAGAACCUAGGAAGCCAAGAAGAAACCAGAGAAUGGAGACACAUGGCAGCAAUGGCAAGUCAUCAGACCCAGGAUUUCCCAAAGAACACUGGUCCAGGAAGAUGCUCUGUGAAAAAGUGUUCCCUGGUCGGAGAAAUUUGUGAAACACUUUGCAUAAUACUUAAAAGAAUGUAUGGCACAUCAAAGAUCUUAUAACAGUCUCCGCAGGAAGCAGCUGCAGUCAUUAGCCAUAGGACAGACUAAACACACAAUCUGCAUGGAAGGAGGCCUGGAUCAGCUUGGUCUUUCAGAUCUCUAAUCUCAGGCACAGGAAAGCACCAUCAACAGCACCCUUUGUAUAUAUACAUAAAGGUAACAUAUUUUAUCAUUUAAAGGGAUUUGAGAAAUUGAAGAGGCCCAACUCUUUUUCUGCCUUCUUUGGUUUGAGGCUUAGAUUGCUUAAGGGGCUUGCCCAGGAUCACAUAUCUUGUAAGAGACAGAGCAAGGAUUCAAAGCCAGUGCUGGCUUCUGUGUCUCCAUUCUUUCCAUUCUCCUCCAGUGGCUCUUUUGGGAAGCUGAGGGAGGAACAGCAGCAGAAUUGGGUGGCACCUGCCCAUGCCCAUCAUGC
This 1068-nucleotide long non-coding RNA is filed under the name Homo sapiens (human). RNAcentral's name for it is "HSALNT0394508". Lineage: Eukaryota; Metazoa; Chordata; Mammalia; Primates; Hominidae. The record is from RNAcentral.